Molecule: long non-coding RNA, 234 nt
Filed under: Salvator merianae (Argentine black and white tegu)
Lineage: Eukaryota; Metazoa; Chordata; Lepidosauria; Squamata; Teiidae
Description: lncRNA (ENSSMRG00000007927.1)
Source: RNAcentral
GUUCCAAAAGCAUUUUGAUCGUGGAGGCAGCUGGCACGGGGAGCUUUAAAUUGCAUCCAAAAAGUGCAGAGUCAAAUCAGAAGUGAGGAACUGGAAAGAGGAGAAUCACAGCUUUGAAAAAACAACAACCAAAAACUCAAUUUCCUGUUCAAACAAUCCAGUCUUGCAGCUGAGAAGGAAGUUCAUGGAAGGUAUCCCUUAAAGAAUUUGCCUCAUCUCAGAGCUUCUUCCAAG